CUGUAAGAAUUUGGUGCAUCA
This 21-nucleotide non-coding RNA is filed under the name Rattus norvegicus (Norway rat). Lineage: Eukaryota; Metazoa; Chordata; Mammalia; Rodentia; Muridae. The record is from RNAcentral.